ACUUUUAACAACAGAUCUCUUAGUUCUAGCAUUAAUAAAGAACGCAGCGAAAUGCGAUAAGUAGUGUAAAUUGUAGAAUUUAGUAAAUUAUUAAAUCUUUAAACGCAUAUUGCGCCCCUUAGUAUUCUAUAGGGCAUGCCUGUUUAAGCGUUAUUUGUACCCUUAAGCUCUGCUUAGUAUUAGGUAUUUGUUCUACUUAGGACUCGCCUUAAAACAAUUGGCAGCUAGCAUAUUAGCCUAGAGCGCAGCACAUUUUACGCCUCUUGUUAUAGUUAUUAGUAUCUAUUAAGAUACUUUUUAAGCUCUUAACCUUAGAUUAGGUAGGGAUACCCGCUAAACUUAAGUAUAUUAAUAAGCGGAGGAAAAGAAACUAAUAGGGAUUGCCCUAGUAACAGCGAGUGAAGCGGCAACAGCUUAAAUUUAAAAUCUAGCUCUUUUAGGGUCUAAGUUGUAAUUUGCAGAGGGCGCUUUAGCGUUAGUAGCAGUCUAAGUUCCUUGGAACAGGACGUUAUAGAGGGUAAGAAUCCUGUACGUAGUUGCUAGCCUUCGCUAUGUAAAGCCCCUUUAACAAGUUAAGUUGUUUAGGAAUACAGCUCUAAAUAGGAGGUAAAUUUCUUCUAAAGCUAAAUACUAGCUAGAGACUAAUAGCGCACAAGUAGAGUGAUUAAAAGAUAAAAAGCACUUUAGAAAGAGAGUUAAAUAGCACGUGAAAUUGUUGAAAGGGAAGCGCUUGUAGCUAGACUUGCCUAUAGUUGCUUAUCUAGGCUUUUGUCUAGUGCACUCUUCUAUAGGUAGGCUAGCAUUAGUUUAGGUGGUUAGAUAAAGGUCUCUGUCACGUACCUCCCUUUAGGGAGGCCUUAUAGGGGAGACAACAUGCAACCAGCCUAGACUAAGGUCCGCGUAUCUGCUAGGAUGCUAGCGUAAUAGCUAUAAGCGGCCUAUCUUAAAAUAUAGACUAAGGAGUCUAACAUCUAUGUAAGUGUUUAGGUGUUAAGCCUAGACGCGUAAUAAAAGUGAAUAGAGGUAGGAACCCUUUUAGGGUGCACUAUUAACCAAUCCUAAUAUCUUUAGAAGGAUUUAAGUAAGAGCAUAGCUGUUAGGACCUAAAAGAUAGUGAACUAUGCUUGAAUAGGGUAAAGCUAGAGGAAACUCUAGUAGAGGCUUGUAGUGGUUCUAACGUGCAAAUUAAUCAUUAAAUUUAGGUAUAGGGGCGAAAGACUAAUUAAACUAUCUAGUAGCUAGUUCCUGCUAAAGUUUCCCUUAGGAUAGCAGUAACGUAUUUAGUUUUAUAAGGUAAAGCAAAUAAUUAGAGGCCUAGGGGUUAAAACAACCUUUACCUAUUCUUAAACUUUAAAUAUAUAAGAAGUCCUUAUUACUUAAUUAAACGUGGACACUUAAAUAUACUGUUACUAGUAGGCUAUUUUUAGUAAGUAGAACUAGUAAUACAGGAUAAACUAAACGUAGGGUUAAGGUGCUAGAAUGCACACUUAUUAGACACUAUAAAAGGUGUUAGUUUAUCUAGAUAGCAGGACAGUAGCUAUAAAAGUUAGAAUCUGCUAAGGAGUGUGUAAUAACUCACCUGCUAAAUAAACUAGCCCUAAAAAUAGAUAGCGCUUAAGCGUGUUACCUAUACCCCGCUGCCGGGGCAAGAUUUAAGCCCUAGCGAGUAGGCAGGCGUAGAGGCUUGUGACAAAGCCUUAGGGGUAACCCUAGGUAGAACAGCCUCUAGUGCAGAUCUUAGUAGUAGUAGCAAAUACUUAAAUAAGAACUUUAAGGACUAAAGUAGGGAAAGGUUCCGUGUAAACAGCAGUUAGACACGGGUUAGUUAAUCCUAAGAGAUAGGGUAAUUCUAUUUUAAUAUUAGUGCUUGCGCCGCGCCCUUAAAAGGGAAGCUAGUUAAUAUUCUAGCACCUAGAUAUAGAUUCUCUGCGGCAACGCAACUAAGAGUAGAGACCUUAGCAGGAGCCCUAAGAAGAGUUCUCUUUUCUUCUUAACAGUCUAUUACCCUAAAAUUAGUUUGUUUAGAGCUAGGGUUUAAUAGCUAGAAGAGUGCUGCACUUUUGCGGUAUUUAGUGCGCUCCUAACAAGCCUUAAAAAUCUACUUAAAGAAAUAGUUUUUACGCUAGGUCGUACUUAUAACUAUAGUAGGUCUCUAAGGUAAAAAGCCUCUAGUUAAUAGAAUAAUGUAGAUAAGGGAAGUUAGUAAAAUAGAUCUGUAACUUUAGGAAAAGGAUUAGCUCUAAGGGUUAGGUACGUUAGGCCUUAGGGAGAAGCCUCUAGCGCAGAAGGGCACUAACCGCAAGGUAGGCGCCUCUUAGCGCUAGGGUGCAGACACCCUUAGCAGGUUUUGGCUAUCUAGCGUACGUUUAACAACUAACUUAGAACUAGUAUAGAUAAGGGGAAUCUAACUGUCUAAUUAAAAUAUAGUAUUACAAUAGCUAGAAAGUAGUAUUAAUAUAAUAUGAUUUCUGCCUAGUGCUCUAAAUAUUAAAGCGAAGAGAUUUGACUAAGCGCGGGUAAAUAGCGGGAGUAACUAUAACUCUCUUAAGGUAGCUAAAUGCCUUAUUAUCUAAUUAGUAACGCGCAUAAAUAGAUUAAUAAGAUUCCUACUAUCCCUAUCUACUAUCUAGCAAAACUAUAGCUAAGGGAACAGGCUUAGCUAAAUUAGCGGGGAAAGAAGACCCUAUUAAGCUUAACUCUAGUUUAACAUUAUAAAAAGAUAUAGGGGGUGUAGAAUAGGUAGGAGCUUUAGCGCUAGUGAAAUACUACUACCCUUAUUGUUUUUUUACUUAUUUAAUAAAGCGGAGCUAGGCCUUACUACCUAACUUCUAGCGUUUAAGGUCCUUUGUAGGCUAAUCUAGGUUAAAGACAUUGUUAGGUAGGGAGUUUAGCUAGGGCAGCACAUCUAUUAAACUAUAACGCAGGUGUCCUAAGGGGGACUUAUAGAGAAUAGAAAUCUCUAGUAGAGUAAAAGGGCAAAAGUCCCCUUAAUUUUAAUUUUUAGUGUAAAUACAAACUAUAAAAGUGUAGCCUAUUAAUCCUUUAGUCCCUUAAAAUUUAAGGCUAGAGGUGCUAGAAAAGUUACCACAGGGAUAACUAGCUUGUGGUAGCUAAGCGUUUAUAGCGACGUUGCUUUUUAAUCCUUUAAUAUUAGCUCUUCCUAUUAUACUAAAGCAGAAUUUAGUAAGCGUUAGAUUGUUCACCUACUAAUAGGGAACGUAAGCUAGGUUUAGACCGUCGUAAGAUAGGUUAGUUUUACCCUACUAAUAACCUUGCCCUAAUAGUAAUACCGCUUAGUACGAGAGGAACUGCGGUUUUAGAUAAUUAGUUUUUGCGGCUGUCUAACUAGGCAUUGCCACAAAGCUACUAUCUGCUAGAUUAUAGCUAAACGCCUCUAAGUUAGAAUCUAUGCUAGAAUAGGGUGAUUUCCGCCUACACUAGUUAGAUACAAAUAGGCCUUUGGCCCAGAACCUUACUAGAUUAGCGUUGGCAGCCCUAUUAAAGUUAGGGUUGUUAGCUAGUGUAUUAUAAUUAUAUAGUGCGCAGGAUUAAAUCCUUUGUAGAUAACUUAGUUGUCUAGCUAGGUCGUGUAAGUAGUUAAGUAGCCUUAUUAUUACGAGCUACUAAGCGUAAGCCCGUUGCUAGCUUAGUUAAAAUUGGGAUAUUAUACCCUCCUUAUUUGCAAAACUGCUGCCUAAAUAGCUACUGUUAAUAGAAGGAAGAGGGCCAUAGCGAAUAAGUUAUAUAGUAAUUGCAAGAUAGCGAGGGCUAGAGCUAGGAGCAAUCCUCGCAAAAUAUACAAAAGAAUAGGUUGUGUGUGUACGUACCUUAGGCAGUUAAUAUAUAGCAUAGGAAGAUUAAGAAAGGAUUUAAGAUAAUCUAUAUAGAUUUUUAGGUAGUGAUCUAUAACUUAAGAGCGUUCUAUAACUUUUUAUUUUUUAGGGGUAGUGUUCUAUAACUCUAGGGCGUUCUAUAACUUUAGGGCGUUCUAUAACUUUAGGGCAUUCUAUAACUUUUUAUUUUUUAGGGUUAGUAUUCUAUAAUAUUAGAGUGUUCUAUAACUUUUUCUUUUUUAGAGGUAGUGUUCUAUAAUAUUAGAGUGUUCUAUAACUUUUUAUUUUUUAGGGUUAGUAUUCUAUAAUAUUAGAGUGUUCUAUAACUUUUUCUUUUUUAGAGGUAGUGUUCUAUAACUUUAGGGCGUUCUAUAACUUUUUAUUUUUUAGAGGUAGUGUUCUAUAACUUUAGGGCGUUCUAUAACUUUUUCUUUUUUAGAGGUAGUGUUCUAUAAUAUUAGAGUGUUCUAUAACUUUUUAUUUUUUAGGGGUAGUGUUUUAUAACUUUAGGGCGUUCUAUAACUUUUUCUUUUUUAGAGGUAGUGUUCUAUAAUAUUAGAGUGUUCUAUAACUUUUUCUUUUUUAGAGGUAGUGUUCUAUAACUUUAGGGCGUUCUAUAACUUUAGGGCGUUCUAUAACUUUAGGGCGUUCUACAACUUUUUAUUUUUUAGGUGUAGUGUUCUAUAACUUUAGGGCGUUCUAUAACUUUUUCUUUUUUAGAGGUAGUGUUCUAUAACUUUAGAGCGUUAUAUAACUUUUUCUUUUUUAGAGGUAGUGUUCUAUAACUUUAAAGCGUUCUACAACUUUUUAUUUUU
This 4648-nucleotide ribosomal RNA is filed under the name Plenodomus lingam JN3. RNAcentral's name for it is "28S_rRNA". The stretch from base 307 to 3655 matches the Rfam family "Eukaryotic large subunit ribosomal RNA". Lineage: Eukaryota; Fungi; Ascomycota; Dothideomycetes; Pleosporales; Leptosphaeriaceae. The record is from RNAcentral.